RNAcentral lists this long non-coding RNA (4178 nucleotides) under Sus scrofa (pig). RNAcentral describes it as "lncRNA (ENSSSCG00000052769.1)". Lineage: Eukaryota; Metazoa; Chordata; Mammalia; Artiodactyla; Suidae. The record is from RNAcentral.
CACGGCGCGCCGGCCUCCGCAAGUGUUCUGAACCAGCCGCCGUUAGAGCUGGACUGGGCAUCCGGAGCGCGGAGAUCGGUGGCGCAGGAGCCCCGCCGGACUCAGGCCAUUCUUCUUUGGGAAGAGGUUGACAAGCUUCCGGGAAAGGCCACAAGUUCGGGCAGCAAGGUCGGCGGCAGGCCUUGGGAGCUGUCAUGGGGCACGCAUUGGGGUGCGAGUGUAGAAACUUCGGACAGUUUUCAUUUUCUGGGCGUGGGACCAACCCGAAGUGACAAAUCUAAAACCUCUCCUUACAAUCCAGCUUGCUACGUCCGUUCUUUUAUCCUUUAUCAGAAUUGUUAUUUUCUAGCUUUCCAUGUUGCAGUAAGAACUUGCGGGGGCGAGGGGCGGUGUACGAAAACAAAUGUAGUACUGUACACUCAGGGUGAAUGUUUCUCAACGUUCAGUGUUAAGCACUGUUAGUCUUCACAAAGAAAUGACAUUCUCAUUCCUAUCAUGCAACAGUAGCCACCAUUUGGGGGGCUUUUACUAUUUGCCCGACGGGUUAGGUCAUUGCUGGCCAUUGGAAAUAUGAGCCGCCUGUGUAAUUUUGCAUUUCAUAGUAGCACUUCUUUUUAAAAGUAAGAAGAAACUGCUGAAAUUUAUUUUAAUAACAUAUUUGAUUGUCUUUGGAAAAAAAAAAUGUUGUCUGCCAUUCUGGUUCUAUAAGAAUCCAGCCAUUAGCCACUGCAGUCCUCACAGGCAAUGCACCCUGCAGGCAAUUCAGGAUGGAGAAAAACAGGAAGCAUUCUGUACUUUGGAUUCACUGGCCCCAAGGUAAUGAAGCUACAUACCGAAGGAAAAUUUUCAAUGACUCCCCGACACUCUAACAUCUCCCCAUACACAGAAAAAACACUAAAAUCGUUAACUUGAGAUGUAACUCUUUUUAGGCUUGACUACAAAUAUUUUCCCUAGCAAAGUUGAUAUCUAUUCCUGGCUCCUCCCUUACUUCUUAGGAGCAGGUCCUCAGAGCUGAGAGGCUGUCUCCUGGGCUAUAGCCCUCAGUAAGUUCCCAGAAUAGAACUUAACUCACAACUUUCACCUUGUGCAAAGUUGACAAUUUUGUUGUUGUUUUGACACGCCCAAAGUUUCUGGGCCAGGGAUCAAACCCACACCACAGCCUUGACAACUCAGGAUCCUUAACCAUUAGGCCACCAGGGAACUCCUUCAGUUGACAGUUUAAUACAAUAUCUUUUUUUUUUUUUGUCUUUUUGUCUCUUUAGGACCAUACCCGUGGCAUAUGGAGGUUCCCAGGCUAGGGGUCCAAUCUGAGCAGUAGCCGCCAGUCUAUGCUAGAGCCACAGCAACACAAGAUCCUAGCUGUGUCUGCUACCUACACCACCGCUCAUGGCAACGCUGGAUCCUCAACCCACUAAGCAAGGCCAGGGAUCAAACCGGAGUCCUCAUGGAUGCUAGUCGGAUUCGUUAACCACUGAGCCAUGACAGGAACGCCAAUGCAGUAUCUUCAGUAUAAAAUUGAGGUAUUUUGAAUUACUUUUUUCAUACUAAGUUCAAAAUGCGAUGUGUAUUCUACCUUUAGUGUAAUUUUCCACUUGAAAAAGUAGAUUCACAAACUAAAGUUAUUCCAAAUAUGCUUAAUUUUUUUCCCUAAAUAAAUCAAGAUCAAUUUUUAAAUUUAAAAUUUAAUUAAAUUUUAAAACUCAGUCCCACUAGCCAAACUUCCAGAGUUUAGGACCCACGUAGGGCUAGUGGCUACCAUUUUAGCAGGAUCAGAUGUUUAAUGUCAGGAAUCUCACUAAACCUGCACCCUACAGCAUUUUGAGUUAUACCCAUCUACUCAGAAAGAGGCCCUGACUGAAUGACCAGGGCUAAGAGGUUUCCCAGGAUGUGGGAUUAUCAGUCUUAAAGUCAGAAGCUGGAACUUUCCUUCUGCACCAUGUCAGAUACAAAGAAGUCCCCCCAAAGAACAUUCUGAGACUUUCAUUUACAAACAAAACUGGAAAAUUAUAAAAACAGAGCAGUCGUUUUUUUCUAAUAAGUGAAAUGCAAUCAUUUCAAGCAUCAGAGCUUCACAGCAAUUUUGUCUACUUUUGAUACACACAUCAUUAAAUUUAUUCAUAUAUUAUUACUUAUUUGAUCCCCAAACCAAACAUGAAAUAGUUUGUGGGGGGAAGAAAUACUUUCUAGGAGUUACUGUUGUGGCACAGCGGAAACAAAUCCAACUAGGAAUCAUGAGGUUUCGGGUUCCAUCCCUGGCCUAGCUCAGUGGGUUAAGGAUCCAGUGUUGCGGUGAGCUGUGGUGUGGGUCACAGGUAAAUUAAACAGCAAGAUUUAUCAAGUGAAAAAAAAGGUUAAAAGUGAUAUAUACAAGUAAUAGUAAUGGUUAUGUUUAAAUGAACUUCUUAAUAGAAUCUUAAGUAACAGUUGAACUAUUACCAGAGAAACAACCAGUAGGAUACAUCUACAGAGAGAUUUCCAGGAAUUUGUUUAUAUGAUAACAAGACCUGGCCAGGGAACUCUGAAGUACGUAGGGCAGGUCAGCAGCAGGCUAGAAACUCUUGGGCAGGAGCUGACCCUGCAGUCCACAGAAUUUCUUCCCCAGGAAAACCUCACUUUUGUUCUUACAGCCUUUCCACUGAUCAGAUGAGACAGACCCAGAUUACUGAGGAAAAUCUCUUUUACUUAAAGUCAAUUGAUUUUAGGUGUUAAUCACUCCCAAAGACCCUCCCAGCAACACCUAGAUUAGUAAUUGAUUGAAUAACUGGGUACUAUAGCCUAGCCAAAGUGACGCAAACCUAACCAUCACAAUAAUAAAUAAAUAAUUUAUAAUUACAUAAUCAUAUGCCACGCACGAAAGGUGAAACAGUGUAAGAAAAUUCCUAACAAGAAGUAGCAAAUCACAAGGAGGUCUAGGAAGUGGGCGUUGGAUUGUGAGCCCAGGUCCUGCCCCUUAGAAGCUGUGUGGUCAGGUUCCUCCUUAUUUUUUUAUAGCGUUUCCUGCUUUACACUAAAAACCCUGGAAGGACAGGGACAAGGCGGCUGGAUUGUGCUCUGCCCAACUCCAGAAUGCUCCAUCCUCAUAGAUGACCUCCCUGUAAGAGCAUGCGGAUGAUGGUGUCAGUAUGAGGAGGAGGACAUGGCACCAAAUAUUAGAAUUGUUGGGCCCUAAGUGUGGUUCAGCCACUAAACUGGUGAUCUAGGAUAAGACACUUAACCUCUUUGGGCUUCAGUUUUCUGAUUUUGAUGAGAUGAUCUUUAAGGAUACUUCCAGCUUUCAAAUUCCAUCAAGUGUGGAGCAAUGACAGUAGGAAAAAUAGAAAUCAUUAAAUUCUUCCCAUAAAGGCAGAUGCCCAUAUGACCAUACAUAAAUGUUUUUAUGAUAUUCAUGAGCCUUUUAAUACAUAGCAUCAUGUAGUAUAAAUAGGUGAAAAUAAUCAGAAAAAAAACCAGCAGAAAAAUAUUCUAGCAAUCAUCCAGUUUUAUUCUAAACUGUUUCCGCAAGUUACACAAAUAUUUAAUUUGGCAUGUAAUACUUGUGAGAAAGUGUUAGUUUCUCGCAUCCUACCCUUAACAUAAUGUUAUCAUGAAUAAAUCAGAAAAUGAAGAUAAUUUUAGAUCAAAGUUGUAGCAACAACAGACUUUGACCAGCUUAGAACUCACUUCCACCCACAGUUCAUUUCUUUAAUUAUAAAAACUACCCCAUGAAAUGCUGACUAGCAACUCUACAUGGGUUAACAAUAAGCAAAAGAAGUAAAUUUACUUACGAAAACAAAUUAAAAUGAAAACAAAUUCCAUAAGUCUGUCAUUCAACCAACAGGCUUAGGAAUCAUUUAAGCUACUUCUACGAAUGGAAAGUAGCUUUUUUCAUGAUGCAGAUUUCUAUUUUCCCCCCCCCCCCGCCAAAAAAAAUCUCAAGGAGGAAGGUUGUUUGUCCUUUCUGUUGAAAAGCUUUUUACAUGGAUUCUGUAUGUGUUUAUUGUUCCUUUUCACCUAAAAUUUGAUAAAUACAAGGCCUCUUAAAAUUACAGCCUUUGUGGUAAGAUAAGCUUUCCUGCUGAAAACCCAGUUGGUACCUCAUUGACAUAGAUCUAUAAUCAAAGGGGCAAAAGUCUGCGAUGUUAUUUAAUUUUAUUAGCCAGCCAAGAGCUUUAUUCAUGUUCAACUGUCAAUAAAUAUAU